UACGUAGGGGGCAAGCGUUGUCCGGAUUUAUUGGGCGUAAAGCGCUCGCAGGUGGUUCGUCGCGUCGUGCGUGAAAGACCCCGGCUCAACUGGGGAGGGUCACGCGAUACUGAUCGACUCGAAGGCAGGAGAGGGUAGUGGAAUUCCCGGUGUAGUGGUGAAAUGCGUAGAUAUCGGGAGGAACACCAGUGGCGAAGGCGACUACCUGGCCUGUUCUUGACGCUGAGGCGCGAAAGCUAGGGGAGCAAACGGG
RNAcentral lists this ribosomal RNA (253 nucleotides) under uncultured bacterium. RNAcentral's name for it is "partial 16S ribosomal RNA". It matches the Rfam family "Bacterial small subunit ribosomal RNA", at positions 524 to 776 of the family's 1533-position model. The record is from RNAcentral.